CCUACGGGUGGCAGCAGUGAGGAAUAUUGGUCAAUGGGCGUAAGCCUGAACCAGCCAAGUCGCGUGAGGGAUGAAGGUUCUAUGGAUCGUAAACCUCUUUUAUAAGGGAGUAAAGUGUGGGACGUGUCCUAUUUUGUAUGUACCUUAUGAAUAAGGAUCGGCUAACUCCGUGCCAGCAGCCGGGGUAAUUCGGAGGAUCCGAGCGUUAUCCGGAUUUAUUGGGUUUAUAGGGUGCAUAGGCGGGCUUUUAAGUGAGCGGGGAAAGUCCGUGGGUAAACCAAAGGAUUGCCGUUGAAAAUGGGGGGGCUUGAGUAUGUUUGAGGCAGGCGGAAUGCGUGGUGUAGCGGUGAAAUGCUUAGAUAUCACGAAGAACCCCGAGUGCGAAGGCAGCCUGCCAAGCCAUGACUGACGCUGAUGCACGAAAGCGUGGGGAUCAAACAGGAUUAGAUACCCCUGUAGUC
This 461-nucleotide ribosomal RNA is filed under the name uncultured bacterium. RNAcentral describes it as "partial 16S ribosomal RNA". It matches the Rfam family "Bacterial small subunit ribosomal RNA", at positions 338 to 795 of the family's 1533-position model. The record is from RNAcentral.